Long non-coding RNA from Nymphaea colorata (pocket water lily), 898 nucleotides. RefSeq lists it as uncharacterized. The transcript is spliced from 2 exons. The record is from RefSeq and is a predicted model, not a curated record. Lineage: Eukaryota; Viridiplantae; Streptophyta; Magnoliopsida; Nymphaeales; Nymphaeaceae.
UCCAAUCAAACCGUUGAAGAAGAGGAAACGCCCUUUUGAAGGAACCGAAGAAGAGGCAAAAACAGGGCGGAAGAGCAAAGAAAAAAAAACAAAAACAGAGGAGAAGAAGAAGAAGAAGAAGAAGGCCUCUGCUGGAAGCUUGUCGCAUAUUAGAAGGCAUAUUAGAAGACAUGAGACGACACCAACAACAACUAGUCGUUCUACUUUUAUGUUAUAGUUUUUAUUGGUUCAUACGUCGUAGACAACGUCGACGACAACUUAUGCAUCGAUCAAUUGGUAAUGAUAGAGCAACAGGAGAAGGAUCGAUGACAGCGAAAGAGAGGCGCAACCGAAUGACUUUAGCGUGUGAGGGUACUGGCAACACAAUCCAGCUUAUCGAUGAAAUGGUUUCGCAAAAUCAAGCAGUAUUAGAACCAUUUAUCAACGUAGGAGACGACUGUGAAGGCCAAGUGGGGCCCCCCACAGGUUCAUUGUCAAAGCGUAAAAGGAGAAGAAGUGCAAAUGAAGAUGAUUUAAAAGAGAUUGAAAUAAUGAAAGAAUCAUUUGACAAAAUUGCUAAUGCAAUUGGAAAAAGUGAUGUCGUACCAAAGCCGAAACAAGAAUGUAAAUAUUCUAAAGAAGACAUAUUUCCAGCAUUUGAAGAGAUUGGUCUUGAAGAAGAGUUACAAACUGAGGCAUAUAUUUAUCUUACUGGUGAUAAAGAUAGGAUAGAAACAUUUUUUGCUUGUCCUUCUUCUAAGCGAAAGGAUGUUUUACUUAGGUUGCUUAGCAUUGCUGGAAUUAUAUAAGACAAGAAUGUAAUUUUUAAUUUUGCUUUGUGAUUUUUUUUGUCUUUAGACAACUAUUUUGUUUACCAACAUUUUGUUUGAUUGAUCUAAAGUUAUUACUUAAGAGGAUA